RNAcentral lists this ribosomal RNA (458 nucleotides) under uncultured bacterium. RNAcentral describes it as "partial 16S ribosomal RNA". It matches the Rfam family "Bacterial small subunit ribosomal RNA", at positions 338 to 795 of the family's 1533-position model. The record is from RNAcentral.
CCUACGGGAGGCAGCAGUGAGGAAUAUUGGUCAAUGGGCGAGAGCCUGAACCAGCCAAGUCGCGUGAGGGAGUACUGCCCUAUGGGUUGUAAACCUCUUUUGUCGGGGAGCAAAAGCCGGACGUGUCCGGCUGUGAGAGUACCCGCAGAAAAAGCAUCGGCUAACUCCGUGCCAGCAGCCGCGGUAAUACGGAGGAUGCGAGCGUUAUCCGGAUUUAUUGGGUUAAAAGGGUGCGCAGGCGGAUUUUUAAGUCAGCGGUAAAAUCGUGGGGCUCAACCCCAUCCAGCCGUUGAAACUGGGGAUCUAGAGUGUGCGAGAGGUAUGCGGAAUGCGUGGUGUAGCGGUGAAAUGCAUAGAUAUCACGCAGAACCCCGAUUGCGAAGGCAGCAUACCGGUGCACAACUGACGCUCAGGCACGAAAGCGUGGGUAUCGAACAGGAUUAGAUACCCCGGUAGUC